AUUGAACGCUGGCGGCAGGCCUAACACAUGCAAGUCGAGCGGAUGAAGGGAGCUUGCUCCUGGAUUCAACGGCGGACGGGUGAGUAAUGCCUAGGAAUCUGCCUGGUAGUGGGGGAUAACGUCCGGAAACGGGCGCUAAUACCGCAUACGUCCUGAGGGGGAAAGUGGGGGAUCUUCGGACCUCACGCUAUCAGAUGAGCCUAGGUCGGAUUAGCUAGUUGGUGGGGUAAAGGCCUACCAAGGCGACGAUCCGUAACUGGUCUGAGAGGAUGAUCAGUCACACUGGAACUGAGACACGGUCCAGACUCCUACGGGAGGCAGCAGUGGGGAAUAUUGGACAAUGGGCGAAAGCCUGAUCCAGCCAUGCCGCGUGUGUGAAGAAGGUCUUCGGAUUGUAAAGCACUUUAAGUUGGGAGGAAGGGCAGUAAGUUAAUACCUUGCUGUUUUGACGUUACCAACAGAAUAAGCACCGGCUAACUUCGUG
This 484-nucleotide ribosomal RNA is filed under the name uncultured bacterium. RNAcentral's name for it is "partial 16S ribosomal RNA". It matches the Rfam family "Bacterial small subunit ribosomal RNA", at positions 30 to 507 of the family's 1533-position model. The record is from RNAcentral.